Molecule: ribosomal RNA, 438 nt
Filed under: uncultured bacterium
Lineage: Bacteria
Description: bacterial SSU rRNA
Rfam family: Bacterial small subunit ribosomal RNA
Source: RNAcentral
CCUACGGGGGGCAGCAGUGGGGAAUAUUGGACAAUGGGGGCAACCCUGAUCCAGCAAUGCCGCGUGUAUGAAGAAGGUCUUCGGAUUGUAAAGUACUUUCGACAGGGACGAUGAGGACGGUACCUGUAGAAGAAGCCCCGGCUAACUUCGUGCCAGCAGCCGCGGUAAUACGAAGGGGGCUAGCGUUACUCGGAGUGACUGGGCGUAAAGGGCGCGUAGGCGGCUUAUACAGUCAGAUGUGAAAUUCCUGGGCUUAACCUGGGACCUGCAUUUGAUACGUAUAGGCUAGAGUGUGAAAGAGGAUUGUGGAAUUCCAAGUGUAGAGGUGAAAUUCGUAGAUAUUUGGAGGAACACCGGUGGCGAAGGCGGCAAUCUGGUUCACAACUGACGCUGAGGCGCGAAAGCGUGGGGAGCAAACAGGAUUAGAUACCCUCGUAG